GGAAGUGGGGAUGACGUCAAGUCCUCAUGGCCCUUAUGUCCAGGGCUACACACGUGCUACAAUGGCCGGUACAAAGGGCUGCAAGACCGUGAGGUUGAGCGAAUCCCAGAAAGCCGGUCUCAGUUCGGAUUGGAGUCUGCAACUCGACUCCAUGAAGUUGGAAUCGCUAGUAAUCGCGGAUCAGCAUGCCGCGGUGAAUACGUUCCCGGGCCUU
Molecule: ribosomal RNA, 214 nt
Filed under: uncultured Desulfuromonas sp.
Lineage: Bacteria; Pseudomonadati; Thermodesulfobacteriota; Desulfuromonadia; Desulfuromonadales; Desulfuromonadaceae
Description: partial 16S ribosomal RNA
Rfam family: Bacterial small subunit ribosomal RNA
Source: RNAcentral